RNAcentral lists this ribosomal RNA (253 nucleotides) under uncultured bacterium. RNAcentral describes it as "partial 16S ribosomal RNA". It matches the Rfam family "Bacterial small subunit ribosomal RNA", at positions 524 to 776 of the family's 1533-position model. The record is from RNAcentral.
UACAGAGGGUGCUAACGUUGUUCGGAAUCACUGGGCAUAAAGCGCACGUAGGCGGCUCGUCAAGUGCGGUGUGAAAUCCCACGGCUUACCCGUGGAAAUGCGCUGCAGACUGACGGGCUCGAGGACGGUAGGGGAGAGCGGAACUCCUGGUGGAGCGGUGAAAUGCGUAGAUAUCAGGAGGAACACCGGUGGCGAAGGCGGCUCUCUGGUCCGUUUCUGACGCUGAGGUGCGAAAGCCAGGGGAGCAAACGGG